CAGCCGCCGCGGGAAUACGUAGGGUGCGAGCGUUAAUCGGAAUUACUGGGCGUUAAGCGUGCGCAGGCGGUUGUGUAAGACAGGUGUGAAAUCCCCGGGCUUAACCUGGGAACUGCGCUUGUGACUGCACAGCUAGAGUAUGGCAGAGGGGGGUGGAAUUCCACGUGUAGCAGUGAAAUGCGUAGAGAUGUGGAGGAACACCGAUGGCGAAGGCAGCCCCCUGGGCCAAUACUAACGCUCAUGCACGAAAGCGUGGGGAGCAAACAGGAUUAGAUACCCGUGUAGUCCCUGUCUCUUAUAC
This 301-nucleotide ribosomal RNA is filed under the name uncultured bacterium. RNAcentral describes it as "partial 16S ribosomal RNA". It matches the Rfam family "Bacterial small subunit ribosomal RNA", at positions 509 to 807 of the family's 1533-position model. The record is from RNAcentral.